RNAcentral lists this ribosomal RNA (579 nucleotides) under uncultured Nocardioides sp. Its description in RNAcentral is "bacterial SSU rRNA". It matches the Rfam family "Bacterial small subunit ribosomal RNA", at positions 78 to 672 of the family's 1533-position model. Lineage: Bacteria; Bacillati; Actinomycetota; Actinomycetes; Propionibacteriales; Nocardioidaceae. The record is from RNAcentral.
CUUCGGUGGUACUCGAGCGGCGAACGGGUGAGUAACACGUGAGUAAUCUGCCCUUGGCUUUGGGAUAGCCACCGGAAACGGUGAUUAAUACCGGAUACGACAACUACUCGCAUGGGUUGGUUGUGGAAAGUUUUUCGGCCAGGGAUGUGCUCGCGGCCUAUCAGCUUGAUGGUGAGGUAAUGGCUCACCAUGGCUUCGACGGGUAGCCGGCCUGAGAGGGUGACCGGUCACACUGGGACUGAGACACGGCCCAGACUCCUACGGGAGGCAGCAGUGGGGAAUAUUGGACAAUGGGCGGAAGCCUGAUCCAGCAACGCCGCGUGAGGGAUGACGGCCUUCGGGUUGUAAACCUCUUUCGGUAGGGACGAAGCGGAAGUGACGGUACCUACUAAAGAAGCACCGGCCAACUACGUGCCAGCAGCCGCGGUAAUACGUAGGGUGCGAGCGUUGUCCGGAAUUAUUGGGCGUAAAGGGCUCGUAGGCGGUUUGUCGCGUCGGGAGUGAAAACCAGGUGCUUAACACCUGGCUUGCUUUCGAUACGGGCAGACUAGAGGUAUGCAGGGGAGAACGGAAUUCCUG